RNAcentral lists this microRNA (21 nucleotides) under Lotus japonicus. Its description in RNAcentral is "lja-miR11075b-5p". Lineage: Eukaryota; Viridiplantae; Streptophyta; Magnoliopsida; Fabales; Fabaceae. The record is from miRBase by way of RNAcentral.
CUUUGGUCAUUGGUUGAUCUU